RNAcentral lists this long non-coding RNA (3975 nucleotides) under Homo sapiens (human). Its description in RNAcentral is "HSALNT0135467". Lineage: Eukaryota; Metazoa; Chordata; Mammalia; Primates; Hominidae. The record is from RNAcentral.
CAGCAAAGUCUCCUGGGAGGGUUUAUAUGUUAAGCUCUGUCAGUAAUUUCUCCCCUAGCAAGAAUGAGGAAGAUGAAGAGCUCGGGUAUCUGAGGGCUGGUGUGUCUGCAUGCGUGUGUGUUUUGGGGGCCGACUGAAGGAAGAGAAGGCUGGAGAGAGGGAACAUGGGUCUGAGGGCACAUCGCUAAGGGGUCAAGAGGCCUAAAGGAGGAGUCUAAGGCUCUCCAUCGAACUUGGACUUGGUCUACAUUAGACUUUAACCUCCAUGAGGCUUGGACUUUCAGGCUUCCUCCCUCACACCGCGGGCAGGUGAGGCGUCUGCUACAGGCCUGGUCUCGCAGAGGGGGCCCAGCGCCCCCCGCCGCCGCCUUCUCCUGGAGUCUGUGUGACAGAAUGGGACCUGUGGGAAAGCAGCACGUCAGCACCCAGCCCCGCUUGCGCGCCAGCAGCUAAUUAAAGCCAGGAAGGUGAUGGCGAUUUUCAACUCAUUCCCGUUACAAACAGCCGACCUUCCUACCGAGUUCAAGUACCUUCUGCCUGGCCUGGAAGAACAAUAUCUCUCUGUCUCCCUCUUCCACUGGCCCUCACCUGCCUUCCCCUGAACAUGCAUUUUGCCUGACAGGAGACAGAGGCAGUUGGCUGGAGACAGACGCCUCCAUCCUCCUGCACACAGUCCUGUGCCUGCUUCUGCAGUGACUCCCUCUCCCUCUGUGGAAACACAUGAGGAAUACAGGAAUAAGGGUUAUCUUCUACUGAAGCCUGCCUAGUGUUUAUUACAGAGAUGGAGUCUUGCUAUAUGGCCCAGCUGGUAAUGCCUAGAUUCUUGAGUCCCUCCCUGGCUCAUCCCUGGGAGCAGCACUGAACCCCUUGUCUGACACCUGUCUGGAAAUGGAGCCUGCACAUUGACCCUAGAUGCUUGCAGCUUGGUCCAGGAGGCCAGCAGGACCAGAGAGAAGACCACAGCGACACAUGGGGAUGGCUGUCCCACAGGCAGAAAUGAGCAGCCGGGAGGAAGCCCAGGCAGCCAGCCACCCAGCUCCCUCCACAUCGUGGCCCUAGAACGGAGUCUUGAAGAAUAAGAAGCCACAGCUUGUCAGGGAAUCAGGCUGGAAAAAUGUUAUGAGACUGAGUAAGACCAGAGAUUCCUCAGCAGUGCCUGGAGAAGACCAGGAGAGGAAGCAGAAGACCCUCCUCAAAGAAGCAGCCUUCACCUCCAGACCUCCCAGCGGGACUUAGACAAUGGGGUUAGGCAGUCACAUGUCUGCACGUGGAAACUUUCUGGGACUGUGCUUGGAUCCUGGCUCUGCCUUUUACUAGCCAUGUGACCUUGGGAAAAUCACUUGACUUCUCCGUGCAGGAUUCCUCAUCUGUAAAAAUGGUCUAAGAUUAGGAGCCACCUCAAGGUUGUUGUAGGAAUUAAAUUAAUUCAUGUUUAUAAAGUGCUUUGAACAGCGUUUGGCACAUGGAGAAUUAAAUGAGCAAACGGAAGAGCAGCAACCCUGAGUUACAUUUCUCAAGACACCGGGGCUCUUGAUGGCACAGCAGCAGCUUGCUAGAGCUUGGUAAAGAGACUUGGGCCUGGUACCUGAAGGGCAAUUCCUUGGCCAUGACAUUGUAGGGAAAGACCUCUAUGGGUGUUGAAAAGACAAGGCGAGGACAAGAAGAGUUGAAAAGGAGCUGUUCUGAAGCCACCUGGCUGUGGAUGGAGGAAGCCACAUGUAGCUUAGGUAGCCUGCUAUUGUAAUUUUUUCUGCAACUGAAGAAUUCGAAAUGGGUUUGGUGGGUAGCGAAGGGCAGAAUCUGGCUUCAAGGUGACAGAGUUUGCAUAGAGAUGGCCUUCUUGAGCAAAGGUAGUGACUCCUACAUUUUUUUUUUUUGUAGAGUUGUGAUACCCAUGAGUUAGUCAGCUUGGGCUAUCAUAACAAAAUACCACACAUUGGUUGGCUUAAACAACAGAAAUUCAUUUUCCUGUAAUUCUGGAGGCUGGAAGUCCAAGAUCAAGGUGACGACAGAGUUGGGUUUCCUCUGAAGCCUCUCUCCUUGGUUUUCAGAUGGGUGUCCUCUUGCUGUCUCUUCAUGUGACUGUCCCUCUGCAUGUGUGCCCCUGGGGACUCUUUCUUAUCUUAUAGUGACACUAGUUCUAUUGGAUUGAAGUGUACCCAUACGACCUCAUUUAAACUUAAUUACAUAUUGUAAGGCCCUAACUUCAAAUACAGUCACAUCCUGAGGUACUGUGUAUUAGGGCUUCAACAUAUAAAUUUUGGGGCAAUCCAGUUCAGCCCAUAAAAUCCCUUUUUGGUUGCUUGAUUCUGUUUAUUUGGUGUCAUGCCUUCCUUUUCCUAAAGAACUUCAUGAAUAGAAUUACUUUCUAAGUGAAAGGAACAAAACUGAUUUUUAUUAAAAAUUAUUUUGAGAUGCUUGUGACAAAUUUUGAAGUAAGUGAAGAUUUUCCUGGAGCUUCUACAAAAUCCUGGCUGAGAAUCCCUGCUUUCUGGACAGUUGAGAAGGAAAUACACUUAGUACAGCUGUUAGAGAGAUAUAGUUGCAACCACUGAGUGCUUAUUAUCUGCCAACUUAAAUAUAUUGCCCAAGGGAAUAACAAAUAUUCUAGUGUUCUUGUUAAGUAUAUUGUCUAAGGUCACACAGCUCUUAAACAACAGCUUCAGGAUUUGAACCUGGAAUCUAUCUGACUCCUAAGUCCAGAUGCUGUUCACCACAUUAGGUUGAAGCAUGGCCAGUGUUCAUAACAUACAACUAUGUCUCCAUAUCUUUUGCUAACCAAUGUUCUUGUAUGUGCAUACCUUACAGGGCAGCCAUUCACCACAAGCCCUACUAGAUGGCUUCCUGUAAUAAGGGUAGAACAGUAGUACUCUCCUUUUGAGAAGUUAUUUGUAAUUUUGUUGGUGGGCUGACAUUUAGGCCCUGCUCUCCAGCCCCAGAGGGGAUCCCAUAACCUAGAUCAGGCCAAUGAUGAUUAUCUCCGUGACUGUAGUGGCUGGUCCAGCGGGGAGGGUCAGGCAGGUAAGCUGGCCCAACCUGAGUCCUUCUUGAGGAUUUUAGAAACUGAAGGUAGGAGAGAAAAAUUCUCUCUUUUCUUCUGGGGAACGGGAUGAAGGUGGUGGGUAGGCAGAGCUGUUGGGAUGUGGAUCCAGGGAUUCUGGAAGUCCUGUCCUCCACCAUGUAAAGAAUACAUCCUGCAGAAGGAGAGAAGGGAGCCAGCACACAGAGAAGCAGAGUCAGGAGAUGGAGAAGGAGAAUCCUGAGAGCCUGAAGGUCCCUGGGUCCAGCCAUUGUCAAGGCCGAGUUCUACCGUCCUUAAGUUGUUUACCUUUCUUUCUUGCUUGCUUCUGUUAGAAGAUGAACACUCAAUGAAAAAUCACCAAACAUCUGAGGAAAGCCAUCAAAAUGAAAUAAACGAAACACACAAGUUCCUAAACACAAGUGAACAGCGUGGGCUGGGUUUUUGUCGCUUGGAACUGGAAACGCUGACGAUAAUGCUGACCUCUGAGCAGACCCACGUGAGGGGCAGCUGUGGUGUGGUGUGAUGAUGCUGGGAUAGGCACUCAGAUGGUUGAGUCUGAGUUUGGCUCUGAUAUUAUAUCAACUGCAUGGGCAGCUGUGGUGUGGUGUGAUGAUGCUGGGAUAGGCACUCAGAUGGUUGAGUCUGAGUUUGGCUCUGAUAUUAUAUCAACUGCAUGGGCAGCUGUGGUGUGGUGUGAUGAUGCUGGGAUAGGCACUCAGAUGGUUGAGUCUGAGUUUGGCUCUGAUAUUAUAUCAACUGCAUGGGCAGCUGUGGUGUGGUGUGAUGAUGCUGGGAUAGGCACUCAGAUGGUUGAGUCUGAGUUUGGCUCUGAUAUUAUAUCAACCGCAUCAUUUUGGGGAAGACACAAUUUCUCAGAAUUUUAUUUAGUUGUAAAAUAAAGAUAAUGAUAUUACAUGCUCUGUCUACCAUCUAGAGUUUUUGUCAAGACAAAC